This 458-nucleotide ribosomal RNA is filed under the name uncultured bacterium. RNAcentral describes it as "partial 16S ribosomal RNA". It matches the Rfam family "Bacterial small subunit ribosomal RNA", at positions 338 to 795 of the family's 1533-position model. The record is from RNAcentral.
CCUACGGGAGGCAGCAGUGCGGAAUAUUGGUCAAUGGGCGAGAGCCUGAUCCAGCCAAGUCGCGUGAGGGAGUACUGCCCUAUGGGUUGUAAACCUCUUUUGUCGGGGCGCAAAAGCCGGACGUGUCCGGCUGUGAGAGUACCCGACGCAAAAGCACCGGCUAACUCCGUCCCAGCAGCCGCGGUAAUACGGAGGAUGCGGGCGUUAUCCGGAUUUAUUGGGUUUAAAGGGUGCGCAGGCGGAUUUUUAAGUCAGCGGUAAAAUCCUGGGGCUCAACCCCAUCCAGCCGUUGAAACUGGGGAUCUAGAGUGUGCGAGAGGUAUGCGGAAUGCGUGGUGUAGCGGUGAAAUGCAUAGAUAUCACGCAGAACCCCGAUUGCGAAGGCAGCAUACCGGUGAACAACUGACGCUCAGGCACGAAAGCGUGGGUAGCGAACAGGAUUAGAUACCCUAGUAGUC